RNAcentral lists this ribosomal RNA (251 nucleotides) under uncultured prokaryote. RNAcentral describes it as "partial 16S rRNA". It matches the Rfam family "Bacterial small subunit ribosomal RNA", at positions 525 to 775 of the family's 1533-position model. The record is from RNAcentral.
ACGUAGGGGGCAAGCGUUGUUCGGAAUUACUGGGCGUAAAGCGCGUGUAGGCGGCUUGGCAAGUCGGAAGUGAAAGCCCUCGGCUCAACCGGGGAACUGCUUUCGAAACUGCCAGGCUUGAAUGCGGGAUGGGAGAGCGGAAUUCCCGGUGUAGCGGUGAAAUGCGUAGAUAUCGGGAAGAACACCGGUGGCGAAGGCGGCUCUCUGGACCGUGAUUGACGCUGAGACGCGAAAGCGUGGGUAGCAAACAG